UUUCUGGGGAUUAUAAUUUUGAUUAGAAAUUUAAUGAAUCUGGCGGUUUUUAAAUCUAUUUAGAGGAAUCUGUAAUUUAAAUGAUAGUCCACGCUUAAUUUUACCUAAAUUUUCUUGUAUAUCUCUGUCGUGAAUGUAAUGAAAAUUAAUUUUCUUUUUUUUUAUUUAAUUUAUGUUAGGUCAAGGUGCAGUUAUUAUCUAGGUUUUUAUGGAUUACAUUAAUUUUUGUUUUUGGAUGUUUCAGUUGGUUGAAAUUUGAAUUUGGAUUUAAAAGUAAUUUUUUUUAUUUAAUUUUUUGAAUUUGCUCUUGAUUAUGU
Molecule: ribosomal RNA, 317 nt
Filed under: Falcidius limbatus
Lineage: Eukaryota; Metazoa; Arthropoda; Insecta; Hemiptera; Issidae
Description: partial small subunit ribosomal RNA
Source: RNAcentral